AUUGAACGCUGGCGGCAGGCCUAACACAUGCAAGUCGAACGGUAACAGGAAACUGCUUGCUGUUUCGCUGACGAGUGGCGGACGGGCGAGUAAUGUCUGGGAAACUGCCUGAUGGAGGGGGAUAACUACUGGAAACGGUAGCUAAUACCGCAUAACGUCGCAAGCCCAAAGAGGGGGACCCUCGGGCCUCUUGCCAUCGGAUGUGAUCAGAUGGGAUUAGCUUGUUGGUGGGGUAACGGCUCACCAAGGCGACGAUCCCUAGCUGGUCUGAGAGGAUGACCAGCCCCACUGGAACUGAGACACGGUCCAGACUCCGACGGGAGGCAGCAGUGGGGAAUAUUGCACAAUGGGCGCAAGCCUGAUGCAGCCAUGCCGCGUGUAUGAAGAAGGCCUUCGGGUUGUAAAGUACUUUCAGCGGGGAGGAAGGGAGUAAAGUUAAUACCUUGGCUCAUUGACGUUACCCGCAGAAGAAGCACCGGCUAACUCCGUG
Molecule: ribosomal RNA, 490 nt
Filed under: uncultured bacterium
Lineage: Bacteria
Description: partial 16S ribosomal RNA
Rfam family: Bacterial small subunit ribosomal RNA
Source: RNAcentral